RNAcentral lists this ribosomal RNA (492 nucleotides) under uncultured bacterium. RNAcentral's name for it is "partial 16S ribosomal RNA". It matches the Rfam family "Bacterial small subunit ribosomal RNA", at positions 29 to 507 of the family's 1533-position model. The record is from RNAcentral.
AGUGAACGCUGGCGGUAGGCCUAACACAUGCAAGUCGAACGGCAGCACAGUAAGAGCUUGCUCUUACGGGUGGCGAGUGGCGGACGGGUGAGGAAUACAUCGGAUUCUACUUUUUCGUGGGGGAUAACGUAGGGAAACUUACGCUAAUACCGCAUACGUCCUACGGGUGAAAGCAGGGGAUCUUCGGACCUUGCGCGAUUGAAUGAGCCGAUGUCGGAUUAGCUAGUUGGCGGGGUAAAGGCCCACCAAGGCGACGAUCCGUAGCUGGUCUGAGAGGAUGAUCAGCCACACUGGAACUGAGACACGGUCCAGACUCCUACGGGAGGCAGCAGUGGGGAAUAUUGGACAAUGGGCGCAAGCCUGAUCCAGCCAUACCGCGUGGGUGAAGAAGGCCUUCGGGUUGUAAAGCCCUUUUGUUGGGAAAGAAAAGCAGCAGGUUAAUACCCCGCUGUUCUGACGGUACCCAAAGAAUAAGCACCGGCUAACUUCGUG